RNAcentral lists this ribosomal RNA (253 nucleotides) under uncultured bacterium. Its description in RNAcentral is "partial 16S ribosomal RNA". It matches the Rfam family "Bacterial small subunit ribosomal RNA", at positions 524 to 776 of the family's 1533-position model. The record is from RNAcentral.
UAUGUAGGGUGCAAGCGUUGUCCGGAAUUAUUGGGCGUAAAGAGCUCGUAGGCGGUUUGUCGCGUCUGCUGUGAAAACUCGGGGCUCAACCCCGAGCUUGCAGUGGGUACGGGCAGACUAGAGUGCGGUAGGGGAGACUGGAAUUCCUGGUGUAGCGGUGGAAUGCGCAGAUAUCAGGAGGAACACCGGUGGCGAAGACGGGUCUCUGGGCCGUAACUGACGCUGAGGAGCGAAAGCAUGGGGAGCGAACAGG